GUAGUGGCGAUUGAAGUGCUUGGAUAUGUUCUCUAGUUCGCCUGCCCUCCCACCAACGAUGUUUGCUAUAGCCAGUCGGCGACUCUGUAAAAUUGGAUUUGAAAAAAGAGCAGAGAUUUUGGAAAGAGCAUAGAGUGCUUUCCAUUCACCUACAAGUUGUCAAUUGGCUGCAUAAUGAAAUUGCUACUGGGGUUGGAUCUUCACACCCAUCUGAUUCUAUCAAUGAGGACCAGCCUUACAUUCCAGUUCCAAUUGAUGAUUUCAUUAGCAUGGACAAUUAUGACGAUGUUGAUGAUAAUGUUGGCGAAAGUACCCAUUAUACUCCCUAUGCAAGUAGCAGUCGUUCCCAUGGGAGGCCUAGUUCAAGGGUGACAUGUAAAGAGAAGAAGAAGAAAAGAGGUGCAAAGAAGGUUAGUAGUCCUUUGAAAGUGAUAGCCAAUGCAAUUAUGGAGAUGGCCAAGCAAGACCCCCGGAAGAAAUUUGCAAAAAACUUAUGUACUAAGAUUGAUGCACUUCCAGGAAUUGAGUUUGAUAAAAAAUUGCAUGCUAAACAAUUCUUCAUGCAACAUAUGGAAUUGGCUCACAUCUUCUUGAAUGCCAAUGAGACAGAUAAGCUUAAGGUGUUUGAACACUACAUGAAGAAUAUCGAAGAUGGUGGUCAAGACUGAGGAGGUGUCACUUUAUUUACUUAUUAUUAGUGUGUUGUUUCAAAACAUGAGUAAAUAGUUGGACAAUUUAUGACAAACAUUUGAAAUGCUUAUUUUGGUGAUGUAAUAUUGACUCCAUUUUUGAACUCUCUCAUUUAAACUGAUCAGCUGGUGAUUGGUAAGCUUCUGUAAGAAGGUAUUAUGAGUUUUAUUGGAAAGUAACAGAGUUGGAUGUUUGUCCUUCUUAUGCUAAA
This is a long non-coding RNA of Macadamia integrifolia, 901 nucleotides long. RefSeq lists it as uncharacterized. The record is from RefSeq and is a predicted model, not a curated record. Lineage: Eukaryota; Viridiplantae; Streptophyta; Magnoliopsida; Proteales; Proteaceae. The transcript has 2 exons.